UGGGUUUCGGCACAUUUGGGCAGUUCCUGGUAAAGACAAUGAUCAAACAAGGCCUUACCAUAAGGGCUACUUCUCGGACUGAUCAUUACCACCUCUCUCAUCAAUUGGGUGUUUCCUUCUUCGGGGAUCUAGUUUCAUUUCUUGAAGCAGAUAAUGAUGUGAUAUUGUUAUCCACAUCAAUCCUCUCUCUAUCCGAGGCCUUUACAUUGCCUUAAACGCCGGACACUGUUCGUCGACGUGCUUUCGGUUAAAGAACACCCGAGAAACCUUCUAUUGCAAGUUUUGCCGGAGGAGAUGGAUGUGCUCUGCACUCGUCCCAUGUUUGGACCUGAAAGUGG
Molecule: long non-coding RNA, 338 nt
Organism: Hibiscus syriacus
Lineage: Eukaryota; Viridiplantae; Streptophyta; Magnoliopsida; Malvales; Malvaceae
Exons: 3
Source: RefSeq, a predicted model, not a curated record